AUUGAACGCUGUCGGCAUGCUUUACACAUGCAAGUCGAACGGCCGCGCUGACUUACUCGUGUCUGCUAGUGGCCAACGGGUGCGUAAUGCAUCGGAACCAGCCCAGUAGUCGGGAAUAGCACGGCGAACACCGGCGUAAUACCGCAUUCCACCUGGCGUCGAACGGCUGGGACAGGGAACCCUCGCCCCUUUCGAGGGGCCCACGUCGGAGUCGCUAGUUGGUGGGGUAAAGGCUGAACUAGGCCACGAGCCGUAAGUGGUCUGAGAGGGCGACCAGCCACACGGGGACUGAGACACGGCCCAGACUCCUGCGGGAGGCAGCAGUGGGGAACUGUGGACCAUGGUGGCAACCCUGAUCCAGCCAUGCCGCGUGCGGGAAGAAGGCCUUCGGGUUGUAAACCGCUUUUGUUCGGGAAGAAAUUCUCUGGGCUAAUACCCCGGCGUGAUGACGGUACCGGAAGAAUAAGCACCGGCUAACUACGUG
This 484-nucleotide ribosomal RNA is filed under the name uncultured bacterium. RNAcentral's name for it is "partial 16S ribosomal RNA". It matches the Rfam family "Bacterial small subunit ribosomal RNA", at positions 28 to 507 of the family's 1533-position model. The record is from RNAcentral.